UCAGGCCUAACACAUGCAAGUCGAGCGGUAACAUUUCUAGCUUGCUAGAAGAUGACGAGCGGCGGACGGGUGAGUAAUGCUUGGAAAUCUGCCUGGUAGUGGGGGACAACAGUUGGAAACGACUGCUAAUACCGCAUAACCUCUUCGGAGCAAAGUGGGGGACCCUCGGGCCUCACGCUACCAGAUGAGUCCAAGUGGGAUUAGCUAGUUGGUGAGGUAAAGGCUCACCAAGGCGACGAUCCCUAGCUGGUCUGAGAGGAUGAUCAGCCACACUGGAACUGAGACACGGUCCAGACUCCUACGGGAGGCAGCAGUGGGGAAUAUUGCACAAUGGGCGCAAGCCUGAUGCAGCCAUGCCGCGUGUGUGAAGAAGGCCUUCGGGUUGUAAAGCACUUUCAGUCGCGAGGAAAGGGUGGAUGUUAAUAGCAUUCAUCUGUGACGUUAACGACAGAAGAAGCACCGGCUAACUCCGUGCCAGCAGCCGCGGUAAUACGGAGGGUGCGAGCGUUAAUCGGAAUCACUGGGCGUAAAGCGCAUGCAGGCGGUUUGCUAAGCGAGAUGUGAAAGCCCCGGGCUUAACCUGGGAACGGCAUUUCGAACUGGCAAACUAGAGUCUUGUAGAGGGGGGUAGAAUUUCAGGUGUAGCGGUGAAAUGCGUAGAGAUCUGAAGGAAUACCAGUGGCGAAGGCGGCCCCCUGGA
Molecule: ribosomal RNA, 700 nt
Filed under: uncultured Gammaproteobacteria bacterium
Lineage: Bacteria; Pseudomonadati; Pseudomonadota; Gammaproteobacteria
Description: bacterial SSU rRNA
Rfam family: Bacterial small subunit ribosomal RNA
Source: RNAcentral